RNAcentral lists this ribosomal RNA (220 nucleotides) under uncultured bacterium. Its description in RNAcentral is "partial 16S ribosomal RNA". It matches the Rfam family "Bacterial small subunit ribosomal RNA", at positions 113 to 334 of the family's 1533-position model. The record is from RNAcentral.
CGACGUGGGGAACCUGCCCUAUACAGGGGAUAACAGCUGGAAACGGCUGCUAAUACCGCAUAAGCGCACAGAAUCGCAUGAUUCAGUGUGAAAAGCCCUGGCAGUAUAGGAUGGUCCCGCGUCUGAUUAGCUGGUUGGUGAGGUAACGGCUCACCAAGGCGACGAUCAGUAGCCGGCUUGAGAGAGUGAACGGCCACAUUGGGACUGAGACACGGCCCAA